UACAGAAGCCUCGAGCGUUACCCGGAUUUACUGGGCGUAAAGGGUGUGUAGGUGGCAUGAUUAGUCCGUUGUUAAAACUUCAGGCUUAACCUGAAGAUCGCGACGGAAACGGUCAUGCUCGAGGACAUGAGAGGUGUAUGGAACUCAUAGUGUAGGGGUGAAAUCCGUUGAUAUUAUGAGGAACACCAAAUGCGAAGGCAAUACACUGGCGUGUUCCUGACACUGAGACACGAAAGCGUGGGUAGCGAACGGG
RNAcentral lists this unclassified non-coding RNA (253 nucleotides) under uncultured Parcubacteria group bacterium. RNAcentral describes it as "contains 16S-23S intergenic spacer region". It matches the Rfam family "Bacterial small subunit ribosomal RNA", at positions 524 to 776 of the family's 1533-position model. The record is from RNAcentral.